UACGAAGGGGGCUAGCGUUGCUCGGAAUCACUGGGCGUAAAGGGUGCGUAGGCGGGUCUUUAAGUCAGGGGUGAAAUCCUGGAGCUCAACUCCAGAACUGCCUUUGAUACUGAAGAUCUUGAGUUCGGGAGAGGUGAGUGGAACUGCGAGUGUAGAGGUGAAAUUCGUAGAUAUUCGCAAGAACACCAGUGGCGAAGGCGGCUCACUGGCCCGAUACUGACGCUGAGGCACGAAAGCGUGGGGAGCAAACAGA
This 253-nucleotide ribosomal RNA is filed under the name uncultured bacterium. Its description in RNAcentral is "partial 16S ribosomal RNA". It matches the Rfam family "Bacterial small subunit ribosomal RNA", at positions 524 to 776 of the family's 1533-position model. The record is from RNAcentral.